RNAcentral lists this ribosomal RNA (414 nucleotides) under Triticum aestivum (bread wheat). RNAcentral's name for it is "partial small subunit ribosomal RNA". The record is from RNAcentral. Lineage: Eukaryota; Viridiplantae; Streptophyta; Magnoliopsida; Poales; Poaceae.
AUGGGUCGAACAAAUUUUAAUCCAAUUUGGUGUAAGAUUUGGAAGUUAUCUUGUCCAGCGAAGGUGAAAUUUUUUAUUUGACGGACGCUACAUGGUACUUUUCCAUGUCGUGUUACGCUUGCUAGUAGACACAUGAAAGUUUCACCUUUAUGCCCCUUUUGUGCUUCUGGUUUAGAAGACACAAAGCAUAUUUUGUUUCAGUGCCAAAAGGCAAAAGAGGUCUGGAGAAGGCUUGGCUUAGCCGAGAUCAUUGCUCAAGCUUGUGAAGUUGAUCAUGCUGGAGAGGCGGUCCUCGUUUUUUUUUUGAACAUGCCUGACCAAGAUUUAUCUAUUAUGGGGUUCCAUAAUAUUCCGGAGAUGAUUGCCAUUACGUCUUGGUAUUUAUGGUGGGAAAGACGUAAAUUAGUGCACUAG